UCUCGUGACUGCGUGCCUUUUGAAGAAUGAGCCUGCGAGUUUGCGGUGUGUUGCGAGGUUAACCCGGGUGGGGUAGCCGUAGCGAAAGCGAGUCCGAAGAGGGCGUUUGAGUAGCACGCUCAAGACCCGAAGCGGAGUGAUCUAGCCAUGGGCAGGUUGAAGCGGCUGUAAGAGGUCGUGGAGGACCGAACCCACCAGGGUUGAAAACCUGGGGGAUGACCUGUGGUUAGGGGUGAAAGGCCAAUCAAACUCCGUGAUAGCUGGUUCUCCCCGAAAUGCAUUUAGGUGCAGCGUCGUGUGUUUCUUGCCGGAGGUAGAGCACUGGAUAGGCGAUGGGCCCUACCGGGUUACUGACCUUAGCCAAACUCCGAAUGCCGGUAAGUGAGAGCGCGGCAGUGAGACUGUGGGGGAUAAGCUCCAUGGUCGAGAGGGAAACAGCCCAGAGCAUCGACUAAGGCCCCUAAGCGUACGCUAAGUGGGAAAGGAUGUGGAGUCGCAGAGACAACCAGGAGGUUGGCUUAGAAGCAGCCACCCUUGAAAGAGUGCGUAAUAGCUCACUGGUCUAGUGAUUCCGCGCCGACAAUGUAGCGGGGCUCAAGCGUACCGCCGAAGUCGUGUCAUUGCAGCAUGAGGGCCAACGCCCGCUGUGAUGGGUAGGGGAGCGUCGUCUGCCGGGUGAAGCAGCCGUGUAAGCGAGUUGUGGACGGUUGACGAGUGAGAAUGCAGGCAUGAGUAGCGAUUCACACGUGGGAAACGUGUGCGCCGAUUGACUAAGGGUUCCUGGGUCAAGCUGAUCUGCCCAGGGUAAGUCGGGACCUAAGGCGAGGCCGACAGGCGUAGUCGAUGGAUAACCGGUUGAUAUUCCGGUACCCGCUGUGAAGCGUCAAACAUCGAGCAUCGUGAUGCUAAGGCCGUGAAGCCGCCGGGUGCGUCUUCGGACAAUCUCGGAGUGGUGGAGCCGCCGGCCCAAGCGGUUAGUAGGUGAGUGAUGGGGUGACGCAGGAAGGUAGUCCAUCCCGGGCGGUGGUUGUCCCGGGGUAAGGGUGUAGCCCGUCAUCUAGGUAAAUCCGGGUGGCUUGUGGGUGAGACCUGAUGCCGAGCCGAUUGUGGUGAAGUGGAUGAUCCUAUGCUGUCGAGAAAAGCCUCUAGCGAGUUUUAUGGCGGCCCGUACCCUAAACCGACUCAGGUGGUCUGGUAGAGAAUACCGAGGCGUUCGGGUGAACUAUGGUUAAGGAACUCGGCAAAAUGCCCCCGUAACUUCGGGAGAAGGGGGGCCACGCCUGGUGAGAGGACUUGCUCCUUGAGCUGGGGGUGGCCGCAGAGACCAGCGAGAAGCGACUGUUUACUAAAAACACAGGUCCGUGCGAAGCCGUAAGGCGAUGUAUACGGACUGACGCCUGCCCGGUGCUGGAACGUUAAGGGGACCGGUUAGCUCACUUUCGGGUGGGCGAAGCUGAGAACUUAAGCGCCAGUAAACGGCGGUGGUAACUAUAACCAUCCUAAGGUAGCGAAAUUCCUUGUCGGGUAAGUUCCGACCUGCACGAAUGGCGUAACGACUUCUCGACUGUCUCAACCAUAGGCCCGGUGAAAUUGCACUACGAGUAAAGAUGCUCGUUUCGCGCAGCAGGACGGAAAGACCCCGGGACCUUUACUACAGUUUGAUAUUGGUGUUCGGUUCGGCUUGUGUAGGAUAGCUGGGAGACUGUGAGCAUCGGACGCCAGUUCGGUGGGAGUCGUCGUUGAAAUACCAGUCUGGUCGUGCUGGAUGUCUAACCUGGGUCCGUGAUCCGGAUCAGGGACAGUGUCUGAUGGGUAGUUUAACUGGGGCGGUUGCCUCCUAAAGGGUAACGGAGGCGCCCAAAGGUUCCCUCAGCCUGGUUGGUAAUCAGGUGGUGAGUGUAAGUGCACAAGGGAGCUUGACUGUGAGACCGACGGGUCGAGCAGGGACGAAAGUCGGGACUAGUGAUCCGGCGGUGGCUUGUGGAAGCGCCGUCGCUCAACGGAUAAAAGGUACCCCGGGGAUAACAGGCUGAUCUUCCCCAAGAGUCCAUAUCGACGGGAUGGUUUGGCACCUCGAUGUCGGCUCGUCGCAUCCUGGGGCUGGAGUCGGUCCCAAGGGUUGGGCUGUUCGCCCAUUAAAGCGGUACGCGAGCUGGGUUUAGAACGUCGUGAGACAGUUCGGUCCCUAUCCGCUGCGCGCGUAGGAGUCUUGAGAAGGGCUGUCCCUAGUACGAGAGGACCGGGACGGACGAACCUCUGGUGUGCCAGUUGUUCUGCCAAGGGCAUGGCUGGUUGGCUACGUUCGGGAGGGAUAACCGCUGAAAGCAUCUAAGCGGGAAGCCUGCUUCGAGAUGAGGGCUCCCACCCACUUGAUGGGGUAAGGCUCCCAGUAGACGACUGGGUUGAUAGGCCAGAUAUGGAAGCCGGGUGACCGGUGGAGUUGACUGGUACUAAUAGGCCGAGGGCUUGUCCUC
This 2474-nucleotide ribosomal RNA is filed under the name Streptomyces sp. NRRL F-6674. RNAcentral describes it as "bacterial LSU rRNA". It matches the Rfam family "Bacterial large subunit ribosomal RNA", at positions 589 to 2925 of the family's 2925-position model. The record is from RNAcentral. Lineage: Bacteria; Bacillati; Actinomycetota; Actinomycetes; Kitasatosporales; Streptomycetaceae. RNAcentral also lists the same sequence under 1 other name.